Molecule: long non-coding RNA, 386 nt
Organism: Momordica charantia (bitter melon)
Lineage: Eukaryota; Viridiplantae; Streptophyta; Magnoliopsida; Cucurbitales; Cucurbitaceae
Source: RefSeq, a predicted model, not a curated record
UUCCCCAGAAAAUUCUCAGCUUAGAAAAUUAUCUGUCCCGGUGGAUUUAGAGCACAAAUCCACUAAGAUCAAUAUCUUCUCUGUUGUUGUGCCCUACAAGAAGGAUAAAAUGACAGAAGUAGCCAGAAUUUCUCAAGAUUCUCGAGAAAAAGCGUCGAGUUUCACUUCAUUUCAGUCCACAUGGCCGAAGGACAGCAAGUGACCAAAAUUCCUCAAGAUUCAGAAUCUAGGGCAAUAUGUCGCUACAUUGGCGAAAAGGACGAAGGAAGCUAACGAUGAACAAUCUCAAGGCGAGUUGAAGCUGUCGAGCAAAGGAGAGCCAACGAAGAAAAUUCUCAACGUGAAGAGGAAGAAUGCGCGUGCGAUCUGGAAAAAAAAAAAAAAAA